Molecule: long non-coding RNA, 1329 nt
Filed under: Betta splendens (Siamese fighting fish)
Lineage: Eukaryota; Metazoa; Chordata; Actinopteri; Anabantiformes; Osphronemidae
Description: lncRNA (ENSBSLG00000015251.1)
Source: RNAcentral
CUGUUUGUUAGUCUCAAUCUACUGCUGAGCCUGUCGCAGUCGCGCUUCUUUGUUGUGUUCGCGUAUCAUCGGACAAAACUCUGUUUUGGUGAACUUCAAUCCCAACCUUCUGCGGGCGUAGCGUAUAGAGGUCUGGCUGACGUUCACUUCAUAAUGUGAUUGCAGGAUCUUUUGCAUAUCUCUAGCCACUAACGCUGUAUUCUUCUUAGUGAGGUCAUCUAUGACAGCUAUAACAUGGCUAGAAGGAAAAAGAGCGUGCAUGUCAAUGAAAGCAGUUUUUAAUGCUAAACAUACAUUAACAUCGUCGUAUAAUAAACACAAAAAGACAUGAACCUCUCGGACGUACACGCCUUGGCUCACGCGCCUUAUAGUGUCUGCGUACAGUCCGCUUGGACACGUUGACUCCAGCUGAGGCAAGAUGAGCCCUGAUCUCACGGAGAGUCUUCCCCUUCCUCCGCAAAAAUGGAGCAGGCCUGAGGUAAACACUAUUCAAAACUGGUCUAUGAGUUAUACAGUGGAGGAAGUAGCAGCGUGGGGGCGUGGUUAGAUCAGCUGAUCACCUGGCCAUGGUGAGAGAUGCCACUCACGUCCUCACGAGAUAUAAAAAAAGCUCAUUCUCCUCUGCAAUUUAUUCUUGGACCUCAACAUGUCUACCAAUUCUUAAAAAAUGCCUGGACAGAUGGAUUCACGGACCUUCUACAGGAAAACCACUAGACUAAAAAGAAAGGUACAUUUCAGCCAAACAUACAUACUGAGUGUGUCUAAUGUAAUUCAAUUUUGAUAUAUUAUUUCUGUUUCACUUGUCUCACUUAAUUGUCAUUGUCACCCAUGGCAUCUGGUUUGCAUCUGCCCAUCAUUACCCCAACCCAAAUAAUUUGUUCUUCCAUGCCAGCACGACAACAGCAAUUCUCCCGGACAUAGUCCUGCAAACAGUGGAACCGGACGUGGAAGAAAAGAUUUUGAAUGAGGCUAAACACAAAGAUGGCCGUCCACGUCACGUCCACGACUUCACCAUGUACUCUUCCUGGGUCCACAAGGUGAACUGCAAAGGCUCAGAUGGAAAGCAAGGAGUCCUAAAGAACGUUUUGCGGAAGGUCAAAGAGUACGUCAUGCACUGGUACUCCUCAAUUACGGAGAAGGAUUGGAAAGACAUAAUAAACGAAAGACUGCAGAAAUCGGACCCGCGGAAAUCGGAUACCAGGAGUGCUGGAAGCUGCUUUUAGACGUGCAGCAGUACUGUGUAGUUUGGCUGUAGUUUGCUAUUGCAAAACAAAAAUUGUUGUUAAAAAUGUGAAUAAAAAUUUACUGAUUAAGUUCUUGUUUUAAUUA